GAUGAACGCUGGCGGCGUGCCUAAUACAUGCAAGUCGAGCGAACAGACGAGGAGCUUGCUCCUCUGACGUUAGCGGCGGACGGGUGAGUAACAUGUGGAUAACCUACCUAUAAGACUGGGAUAACUUCGGGAAACCGGAGCUAAUACCGGAUAAUAUAUUGAACCGCAUGGUUCAAUAGUGAAAGACGGUUUUGCUGUCACUUAUAGAUGGAUCCGCGCCGCAUUAGCUAGUUGGUAAGGUAACGGCUUACCAAGGCAACGAUGCGUAGCCGACCUGAGAGGGUGAUCGGCCACACUGGAACUGAGACACGGUCCAUACUCCUACGGGAGGCAGCAGUAGGGAAUCUUCCGCAAUGGGCGAGAGCCUGACAGAGCAACGCCGCGUGAGUGAUGAAGGUCUUCGGAUCGUAAAGCUCUGUUAUUAGGGAAGAACAAAUGUGUAAGUAACUAUGCACGUCUUGACGGUACCUGGUCAGAAAGCCACGGCUAACUACGUG
RNAcentral lists this ribosomal RNA (497 nucleotides) under uncultured bacterium. RNAcentral's name for it is "partial 16S ribosomal RNA". It matches the Rfam family "Bacterial small subunit ribosomal RNA", at positions 28 to 507 of the family's 1533-position model. The record is from RNAcentral.